UGGGUUGUGGCUCAGUGGUAGGGUGCUUGCCUCACAUACGUGAAGUACUGGGUUUGAUCCCCAGCACCACAU
RNAcentral lists this transfer RNA (72 nucleotides) under Ictidomys tridecemlineatus (thirteen-lined ground squirrel). RNAcentral describes it as "Spermophilus tridecemlineatus (thirteen-lined ground squirrel) tRNA". It matches the Rfam family "tRNA". Rfam says of the family: Transfer RNA (tRNA) molecules are approximately 80 nucleotides in length. Their secondary structure includes four short double-helical elements and three loops (D, anti-codon, and T loops). Lineage: Eukaryota; Metazoa; Chordata; Mammalia; Rodentia; Sciuridae. The record is from Rfam by way of RNAcentral.